ACCACCACACUUCUCUUCCCCUUGCGUGCUCUUGCCCUGCCCGCACCUCCCACAUGGUCUUCAUGGCCGCGCCGCCACCUGGCCCGCCUCUGGAAACCGGCACCAGCAUGCGACCGGCCAUGGAUCCGCUCGAGGGGUAAACGGAGCAGGGCGGCGGUUCUUGCCGGCGCCAAGGAGGGCGAACAGGAGAGCACCCCGGAGAUGUAUAAUUCCGUUGGCGCGCCGCCGCAUCUGAGGGCGCCAAGAAGCACGAUCUUGAGGGAAUUGACUGAUGGUGUGGGAUUGGUGGUCUAGAGCGGCGGGCGACCCGAAAGAACGAAAUACUCUGUUUUUGACGUUCUUCUUGGUUCUUUGGCGCAGGAACAGCCUGAGUCGGACUCGCAACACGACAUCCAUCGCCGCCGGAGCUGACGAUGGCGCCGGUUCAGAGGCCCUGUUCUUGGCACAUCGUCAUCCUCGGUGUCGGCGUCGGCGGAAGUCAGGCAUGAAGACGUCUCUGUGAUGGCCGGCGGCGAUCAGCUUGCCGGGCUGGGAGACGACCCGCAGCAGAAACAGGCUUGCUUCACGCAUGUUGAUCGGUACACGCCAUGCCGCCUGACUCCCGUCGCCGCCUGUUGUCGCGAAGCAGAAAGCAAUACUCCACGAAGUGCUCCGUCGCCACGGGGGCAUCGACUUCUGCCAGCGCAAUGGCCGCAGCCCGCAGGAGCAUUGAAUCCCGGAGGAAACGGUAGACACAACCGACGCUGAAAGCUUGCCGGAGCAUCUCAUGUAUGUGGCCUGCGGCUCCUCGGCUUGGAGUUGGUUAAGGGACGUCACGGGUCAGCCCAAGCGCCCGCACAGCGUCGAGACCUUCAGGAUCAGGGACGUGAGCCGUCACGCCGCCCGUGCCUGCGAGCUAUGCACCGCGAUCAGCCGCCUCAGACAAUUGUGCGGCGAAUCAUGUCAUCAGCUGCGGCCCCAGAAGAUCCCAACGGGAGCGGGAGGAUUUACGUCCUCAUUCUCGUUGUUCUUGGCGCUUCAUCAUGGUGUCAUGCAUGCUGUUCUACAUCGUCGCCCAGAAAAGCGAGUACGGCCUGUCGGGAGAGAAGCAGUACAAUGUGAGCAACUGAGCAUACACUUGUGAUGCAUUUUUCUGGUUUAUAGGUGUACGUGCGUUAUGAUCUGAUGGUGUUGUUUUUUCGUGUUGUUUCUGUUCUUCAGUUACGGUUAGUGAUAUGGUUCGGGAUUUAGCAAAAGGAUAUAGUUGCAUACUAGGGCUCGCAAAUAACAUUUGGGGGUCACACAAGGCCUUGCAAUAAUCCUUUAUCUGCA
This is a long non-coding RNA of Triticum aestivum (bread wheat), 1311 nucleotides long. RefSeq lists it as uncharacterized. The transcript has 2 exons. The record is from RefSeq and is a predicted model, not a curated record. NCBI's taxonomy places the organism in Eukaryota, Viridiplantae, Streptophyta, Magnoliopsida, Poales, Poaceae.